Molecule: transfer RNA, 72 nt
Filed under: Camelus bactrianus (Bactrian camel)
Lineage: Eukaryota; Metazoa; Chordata; Mammalia; Artiodactyla; Camelidae
Also listed under: 1 other name
Rfam family: tRNA
About the family: Transfer RNA (tRNA) molecules are approximately 80 nucleotides in length.
Source: Rfam by way of RNAcentral
GAGGAUAUAGCUCAGUGUUAGACUGUGUGCCUAGCAUGCAUGAGGUCCUGGGUUCAAUCCCUGGUAACCACA